CAGUCUCCGCGGUAAUACAGAGGGUGCGAGCGUUAAUCGGAUUUACUGGGCGUAAAGCGUGCGUAGGCGGCUUCUUAAGUCGGAUGUGAAAUCCCUGAGCUUAACUUAGGAAUUGCAUUCGAUACUGGGAAGCUAGAGUAUGGGAGAGGAUGGUAGAAUUCCAGGUGUAGCGGUGAAAUGCGUAGAGAUCUGGAGGAAUACCGAUGGCGAAGGCAGCCAUCUGGCCUAAUACUGACGCUGAGGUACGAAAGCAUGGGGAGCAAACAGGAUUAGAUACCCCAGUAGUCCCUGUCUCUUAUAC
This 301-nucleotide ribosomal RNA is filed under the name uncultured bacterium. RNAcentral's name for it is "partial 16S ribosomal RNA". It matches the Rfam family "Bacterial small subunit ribosomal RNA", at positions 509 to 807 of the family's 1533-position model. The record is from RNAcentral.